RNAcentral lists this ribosomal RNA (290 nucleotides) under uncultured bacterium. Its description in RNAcentral is "partial 16S ribosomal RNA". It matches the Rfam family "Bacterial small subunit ribosomal RNA", at positions 334 to 620 of the family's 1533-position model. The record is from RNAcentral.
UGGCCCUACGGGACGCAGCAGUGAGGAAUAUUGGUCAAUGGGCGGAAGCCUGAACCAGCCAAGUCGCGUGAGGGAAUAAGGCCCUACGGGUCGUAAACCUCUUUUGCCGGGGAGCAAGGGCCGGGACGAGUCCCGGUCCGGAGAGUACCCGGAGAAAGAGCAUCGGCUAACUCCGUGCCAGCAGCCGCGGUAAUACGGAGGAUGCGAGCGUUAUCCGGAUUUAUUGGGUUUAAAGGGUGCGUAGGCGGCAUGGUAAGCCAGAUGUGAAAGCCUUGGGCUUAACCCGAGGA